RNAcentral lists this long non-coding RNA (708 nucleotides) under Physcomitrium patens. Its description in RNAcentral is "long non-coding RNA (PPAT_LNC002048)". The record is from RNAcentral. Lineage: Eukaryota; Viridiplantae; Streptophyta; Bryopsida; Funariales; Funariaceae.
UUUAUUCUCUUUGAAGUAUAACCGUAAAUUCACUACCAAACUUCUGGCAUCUUAAAAAUCAUAGCAAGUGCUCUAAAUCCUAAUCUACAAGUACCUAAGUAAUAUUUUCUUUAUAUCUUGAAUAUCCAAAACUUAAAUACCACAAAAUUUAUGCAUGAAGUUUAACAACAUGAUUAUAUAAAUUUUUGGAAAUUUUGAGACAAAAUCUAUCAAAUUGCUCAAGAUAUAGCUCAAAAGACAACCACUAGUGAAUCAAGUCACUUACUACCUUUAGAUUUGAAGCAUUGAUUUCAACUUCCAAUAUCUCCUUCAUGCCAACUUGGAAUUCAUUAGGUAGUGUACAAAAUAUGUAGCCAAAAAAAUGCUCUUUUUAAUUCUAGUCGCUAAUCCUUGAUUUCUUUUUGAAUACAUGUAUUAUGUUCAAAAGAGUGAUGGUAGGUAUAUAAUCAUCACCUUAACUUUGAGCAUCCAUAUCUCUUUCAUAUAAACUCCAAAUCAUACAAAAAUUAUACCAAAACUAUAGCCAAAAAUCUAAACUUUUUGAUUCUAUCCUUUAAAGUUCGAAUUACCUUGAAAGAAUAAUCUUAAUCUCUAAUAAGGCCUCAGACAACUUCCUUGAAGCCCAUUCGAUAUGAUUUUUGGCUAAUAGGAAUAGAGAUUUUCAUCAUCCAUCUCCAUACAUCCAUAUGGAUGUCCUAAAUGCUCUUU